Molecule: ribosomal RNA, 253 nt
Filed under: uncultured bacterium
Lineage: Bacteria
Description: partial 16S ribosomal RNA
Rfam family: Archaeal small subunit ribosomal RNA
Source: RNAcentral
UACCAGCACCCCGAGUGGUCGGGACGAUUAUUGGGCCUAAAGCAUCCGUAGCCGGUUCUACAAGUCUUCCGUUAAAUCCACCUGCUCAACAGUUGGGCUGCGGAGGAUACUAUAGAGCUAGGAGGCGGGAGAGGCAAGCGGUACUUAGUGGGUAGGGGUAAAAUCCGUUGAUCCAUUGAAGACCACCAGUGGCGAAGGCGGCUUGCCAGAACGCACUCGACAGUGAGGGAUGAAAGCUGGGGGAGCAAACCGG